This 430-nucleotide ribosomal RNA is filed under the name bacterium. RNAcentral's name for it is "partial 16S ribosomal RNA". It matches the Rfam family "Bacterial small subunit ribosomal RNA", at positions 355 to 776 of the family's 1533-position model. The record is from RNAcentral.
UGGGGAAUAUUGGACAAUGGGCGCAAGCCUGAUCCAGCCAUGCCGCGUGUGUGAAGAAGGCCUUUUGGUUGUAAAGCACUUUAAGCGAGGAGGAGGCUACUUGGAUUAAUACUCUAAGAUAGUGGACGUUACUCGCAGACUAAGCACCGGCUAACUCUGUGCCAGCAGCCGCGGUAAUACAGAGGGUGCGAGCGUUAAUCGGAUUUACUGGGCGUAAAGCGUGCGUAGGCGGCUUCUUAAGUCGGAUGUGAAAUCCCUGAGCUUAACUUAGGAAUUGCAUUCGAUACUGGGAAGCUAGAGUAUGGGAGAGGAUGGUAGAAUUCCAGGUGUAGCGGUGAAAUGCGUAGAGAUCUGGAGGAAUACCGAUGGCGAAGGCAGCCAUCUGGCCUAAUACUGACGCUGAGGUACGAAAGCAUGGGGAGCAAACAGG